ACAGCGGUGCGCAGGCGCUAAGGCUACAUCCGGUGUGGCCAUCGGUUUCGCCAGGUGUUUGCGGAGGGCAGGCCGGAGGACCGAGUGUGUAGUCAUGUCGGCGUCUGUAGUGUCCGUCAUCUCGCGGUUCUUAGAAGAGUACUUGAGCUCCACUCCUCAGCGUCUGAAGUUGCUUGACGCGUACCUCCUGUACAUACUGCUGACCGGGGCGCUGCAGUUCGGUUAUUGCCUCCUCGUGGGGACCUUCCCCUUCAACUCUUUUCUCUCGGGCUUCAUCUCUUGUGUGGGGAGCUUCAUCCUAGCGGUUUGCCUCAGGAUACAGAUCAACCCACAGAACAAAGCGGAUUUCCAAGGCAUCUCCCCAGAACGAGCUUUUGCUGAUUUUCUCUUUGCCAGCACCAUCCUGCACCUUGUCGUAAUGAACUUCGUUGGCUGACUUACUCCCAUUUACUUAAUUGAGGAGUAGGAGGCUAGAAGAAUUUGAAGAGCACCUUUUUGGUUCAUUCUAGACCUGUUUUUGUUCCCAACAUGACCUCCACUGGUUCACUUUUUGCUUUCCCCUGGAUAAGAGCUUUUGAGAUGGCAACUUGGACACGUGGAU
RNA transcript from Leopardus geoffroyi (Geoffroy's cat), 601 nucleotides. It is a transcript of the gene named defender against cell death 1, with no coding region annotated. The transcript has 4 exons. NCBI's taxonomy places the organism in Eukaryota, Metazoa, Chordata, Mammalia, Carnivora, Felidae. The record is from RefSeq and is a predicted model, not a curated record.